Long non-coding RNA from Fukomys damarensis (Damara mole-rat), 663 nucleotides. RefSeq lists it as uncharacterized. The transcript has 4 exons. The record is from RefSeq and is a predicted model, not a curated record. Lineage: Eukaryota; Metazoa; Chordata; Mammalia; Rodentia; Bathyergidae.
UGCAAGUGGAACAUCGCAUAGCCUCUGGCUCUUUCAGUUUCCUCACCUUGUGGAAUACAUGGAAUAGUAGAAAUUUAACUCAAACUUUUUAAAGUUAUCAGUUGUGCUACAGGAAAUACAAGCAUGGGAAUUUGGGCUGAUCCACUGCUCCACUAUCCUCUGUGCUGGCAACAUCCCCUGUCCUCUUGUUCAAAUAACCACCGAAAGCUCCACAGACUGAAGUCUCACUGGUGAUCAGACGCUUCUGCCUACUGCAGCAGACACCUUAUGCUCCAGGAGUAACAGGAGAAACAUGCUGGAGGAAAAUGUGUGCAGAGAGUGACGAAGCAAACGGGGUGAGAUGCUAACACCUGUUGAAUAUGGUUAUAUUAGUGUAAAAAAUUGCAAGUAGAGCCAGGUGUGAUGGUGCGUGCCUAUAAUCCCAGAACUCGGGAAGCAGAGACAGGCGGACUGCCAUGAGUUCAAGGACAGCCUGAACUACAGAGUGAGUCUGAAGUACAUAUCAAGACUCUAUGUCAAAAACCAAAACAAAGCAAAACAAAAAAAAGAUCAAGUACAUAUCAAGACUCUAUGUCAAAAACCAAAACAAAGCAAAACAAAAAAAAGUAAGUGAUUUUUGUACAUUGAAUUUGUAUCCCACAAUUUUGCUGAAUUAAUUUAUUA